UUGGAGGGCAAGUCUGGUGCCAGCAGCCGCGGUAAUUCCAGCUCCAAUAGCGUAUAUUAAAGUUGUUGCAGUUAAAAAGCUCGUAGUUGAAUUUCGGGGUUAGUAGGUUGGUCGUGCCUCAGGUAUGUACUGAUCUCACUGAUUCCUCCUUCCUGAUGAACCGUAAUGCCAUUAAUUUGGUGUUGCGGGGAAACUGGACUGUUACUUUGAAAAAAUUAGAGUGUUUAAAGCAGGCUAACGCUUGAAUACAUUAGCAUGGAAUAAUGAAAUAGGACGAUCGAUCCUAUUUUGUUGGUUUCUAGGAUUGACGUAAUGAUUAAUAGGGAUAGUUGGGGGCAUUAGUAUUCAAUUGUCAGAGGUGAAAUUCUUGGAUUUAUUGAAGACUAACUACUGCGAAAGCAUUUGCCAAGGAUGUUUUCAUUAAUCAAGAACGAAAGUUAGGGGAUCGAAGACGAUCAGAUACCGUCGUAGUCUUAACCAUAAACUAUGCCGACUAGGGAUCGGAUGAUGUUAAUUUUUUAAUGACUCAUUCGGCGCCUUACGGGAAA
RNAcentral lists this ribosomal RNA (548 nucleotides) under uncultured Glomeromycotina. RNAcentral's name for it is "SSU rRNA". It matches the Rfam family "Eukaryotic small subunit ribosomal RNA", at positions 548 to 1097 of the family's 1831-position model. The record is from RNAcentral. Lineage: Eukaryota; Fungi; Glomeromycota.